RNAcentral lists this ribosomal RNA (384 nucleotides) under fungal sp. RNAcentral describes it as "partial small subunit ribosomal RNA". It matches the Rfam family "Eukaryotic small subunit ribosomal RNA", at positions 582 to 975 of the family's 1831-position model. The record is from RNAcentral. Lineage: Eukaryota; Fungi.
AUUCCAGCUCCAAUAGCGUAUAUUAAAGUUGUUGCAGUUAAAAAGCUCGUAGUCGAAUUUCGGGUCGAGACGGCAGGUCUAUCGAAAGAUAUGUACUUGACAGCUCGAUCUUUCCUUCUGGGGACGGUGUAUUCUUUAUUGGGUGCAUCGGCAACCAGGACGUUUACUUUGAAUAAAUUAGAGUGUUUAAGGCAGGCUUACGCUUGAAUACAUUAGCAUGGAAUAAUAGAAUAGGACUUUGGUUCUAUUUUGUUGGUUUCUAGGACCAGAGUAAUGAUUAAUAGGAACAGUUGGGGGCAUUAGUAUUCAGUUGUCAGAGGUGAAAUUCUUGGAUUUACUGAAGGCUAACUACUGCGAAAGCAUUUGCCAAGGAUGUUUUCAUUA